Molecule: long non-coding RNA, 894 nt
Filed under: Eucalyptus grandis
Lineage: Eukaryota; Viridiplantae; Streptophyta; Magnoliopsida; Myrtales; Myrtaceae
Description: long non-coding RNA (EGRA_LNC001164)
Source: RNAcentral
UUCUUAUGAUCCAUCGACCAUGUCUAACUCAACAGUCGGCAGUCUUCCGGUAUAAUCGGGCGUCAUGUCGCUCCAUCAAUCACGACAACGUCUACCUCCAGAUGGCAUUCUCGAAGUCAGUCCGGUCUUUAUCGUGAUCUGGCAUUAGUUGAUGUGGGGCAUUUCAUAUAGGAGCAUCGCCCAUCUGACUUUCAUCGGGUGACGGGUUCUCAUAGCAAUCACACGAACAUCCAAUCUCGGCCAAGGACAUUGUGCCUUGCACUCAAAUGCCUCAAUUUCAAAUAAUGUAUUUGGCCUAUUUUCUUCAUAUUAAAAACACCCGGUAAAAUAAUUGUGCGCGGCCAUACGAUGAGAUUGAACCAUAAAAAGUGGUAUCUUUUCUUUUAAAAAUCCCACGAUUUUAUAUUGUACUUAAAACCCUUUUUGGCGUCAAAACCCAAUACCAGGUAUUUUUUCUAAUUAAAUACCAAAAAUCCAUAUUUUUGAAAUAAUAAUUCAAAAAUCAUCAAUCAGCAUCCAAUUGCAUAAAUUAGCACUUAAUUGCACAAAUCAAUAUAACUAUGAUGAUCAGCAUGAAAUUCUAACGACUGGCUAUCCUGGUACAAUUUACACUAAUUAAUAAAUAAUUAAAUUAAACCACUAAUUAAUCUACAUACACUAAUCUAACCACCUAAUAACUAAUUAGACUAAUUAACCAAUCCUACUAACUUAGGCAUAUAAACUAAUUACCACUAAUCUCUAAUUAAACUAAUUAACCCCCUAAUCUCUAAUUAAACUACUAAUCCACUCUUAAGUGUAAUUAGCAUCCUAAUUAGAGUUUAGGACGUAAACUCACCGGUUUAGCGUGAAAACUGGUUCACGGCGAUGGUGGUGCAACGGCGACCACAACUCGGG